AGGCUUAACACAUGCAAGUCGAGCGGGCGUAGCAAUACGUCAGCGGCAGACGGGAGAGUAACACGUGGGAACGCGCCCUUCGGUUCGGAAUAACUCAGGGAAACUUGAGCUAAUACCGGAUACGCCCUAACGGGGAAAGAUUUAUUGCCGAAGGAACGGCCCGCGUCGGAUUAGCUAGUUGGUGAGGUAAUGGCUCACCAAGGCGACGAUCCGUAGCUGGUCUGAGAGGAUGAUCAGCCUCGCUGGGACUGAGACACGGCCCAGACUCCUACGGGAGGCAGCAGUGGGGAAUAUUGGACAAUGGGCGCAAGCCUGAUCCAGCCAUGCCGCGUGGAUGAUGAAGGCCUUAGGGUUGUAAAGUCCUUUUAACGGGGAAGAUAAUGACGGUACCCGUAGAAUAAGCCCCGGCUAACUUCCGUGCCAGCAGCCGCGGUAAUACGAAGGGGGCUAGCGUUGCUCGGAAUUACUGGGCGUAAAGCGCCACGUAGGCGGCUUGUUAAGUCAGCGGGUGAAAGCCUGGAGCUCCACUCCAGAACUGCCCUUUGAUACUGACGAGCUUGAGUCGGGAGAGGUGAGUGGAACUGCGAGUGUAGAGGUGAAAU
This 602-nucleotide ribosomal RNA is filed under the name uncultured bacterium. RNAcentral describes it as "bacterial SSU rRNA". It matches the Rfam family "Bacterial small subunit ribosomal RNA", at positions 44 to 687 of the family's 1533-position model. The record is from RNAcentral.